CCUAUUUUUGCCUGAAAAAGACUCUGAAUUUAAGACAAUCUCCUGAUUUAUAUCAUCAAAGAACUUGAAUAAAAACUAGUCUUGGAUUCAGUUAGCACAUGUUCCCGAAGGAUGGGGUCCCACCUGGAGAGCAGGAGAUAUCAACCAGGAGGCAGAGGAGUUUCACAAAGAAUAUAGAAUGAAGCAGACAUCAGGCAAUGUAAUGGUACCAUAUCUCUUCUUGGCCCUACGGCUGCAGACAUACAUUUUACAAUGCAGUGCUUAGACAUCCUGUUGUAAUAUCUCCCAUUUGCCUUUCACCUUCCUUAAGUUUAAAAAAAAAAAAAGGGUGUGACCUCCAAAUAUCCAACUGACUUGCACAGGUUUACCUAGUUAGUUCUAGUAAGGCUAAGAUAGGAUUUAAACACACGGACUUCCAGUGCCAAACUAACACA
Long non-coding RNA from Hemicordylus capensis (graceful crag lizard), 434 nucleotides. RefSeq lists it as uncharacterized. The transcript has 3 exons. The record is from RefSeq and is a predicted model, not a curated record. Lineage: Eukaryota; Metazoa; Chordata; Lepidosauria; Squamata; Cordylidae.